RNAcentral lists this ribosomal RNA (292 nucleotides) under uncultured bacterium. RNAcentral's name for it is "partial 16S ribosomal RNA". It matches the Rfam family "Bacterial small subunit ribosomal RNA", at positions 505 to 796 of the family's 1533-position model. The record is from RNAcentral.
GUGUCAGCAGCCGCGGUAAGACGAACCGUGCGAACGUUGUUCGGAAUCACUGGGCAUAAAGGGCGCGUAGGCGGCUUAUCAAGUCAGGGGUGAAAUCCGGCAGCUCAACUGUCGAAGUGCCUUUGAUACUGAUGAGCUCGAGGGAGGUAGGGGUCUGUGGAACUUCCGGUGGAGCGGUGAAAUGCGUUGAUAUCGGAAGGAACGCCGGUGGCGAAAGCGACGGACUGGACCUCUUCUGACGCUGAGGCGCGAAAGCCAGGGGAGCAAACGGGAUUAGAUACCCUCGUAGUCC